CGCAGCCGCGGUAAUUCCAGCUCCAAUAGCGUAUAUUAAAGUUGUUGCAGUUAAAAAGCUCGUAGUUGAAUUUCGGGAUUGACACAUCGGUCGUGCCUUAAGGGGUAUGAACUGGUGUAGUCAAUUUCUCACCUUCUGGAGAACCGCGAUGCCCUUAAUUGGGUGUCGCGGGGAACCAGGACCUUUACUUUGAAAAAAUUAGAGUGUUUAAAGCAGGCAUUUUGCUUGAAUACAUUAGCAUGGAAUAAUAAAAUAGGACGGCAUGAUUCUAUUUUGUUGGUUUCUAGGAUCACCGUAAUGAUUAAUAGGGAUAGUUGGGGGCAUUAGUAUUCAAUUGUCAGAGGUGAAAUUCUUGGAUUUAUUGAAGACUAACUACUGCGAAAGCAUUUGCCAAGGAUGUUUUCAUUAAUCAAGAACGAAAGUUAGGGGAUCGAAGACGAUCAGAUACCGUCGUAGUCUUAACCAUAAACUAUGCCGACUAGGAAUCAGACGAUGUUAAUUUUUUAAUGACUCGUUUGGCACCUUACG
RNAcentral lists this unclassified non-coding RNA (528 nucleotides) under uncultured Glomeromycotina. RNAcentral's name for it is "SSU rRNA". It matches the Rfam family "Eukaryotic small subunit ribosomal RNA", at positions 569 to 1092 of the family's 1831-position model. The record is from RNAcentral. Lineage: Eukaryota; Fungi; Glomeromycota.